AUGCUGGAUCACGGCAUUGUUGAGGAGGAGGAGGAGAGGGUUGUCUAUUUUUAUCCAACGCAAGAUGUUUCAGUGGGAGGUAGAGGCAGAGACAUGGAUGCGAGUUUCAGUGUUUCUCUAGGCGCCAUGAGACCCCUUCUUAAGAAGCUUGACAUGAUGCUAGGUCCUCAUGGAUGCAAGCUGACCAAGGGGGUCAAUGAUAGGUCGCAGCUCCUCAAAGAUGAUCUCGAAGAAAUAGCCACAUACCUUGAAGAUCUGUUAGAGGUGGAGGACCCUCCCCUGGCGGCCAAGUGCUGGAUGAAAGAGGCACAUGAGUUAUCUUAUGACAUCCUAGAUUGUAUUGACAACUUUGUGCCCCCUGAUCAGUCUUUUGGCUACAAAUUUGACCACAACAUGACUCAUGUUAAAAUUCCCAAGAGGCUCAAGUGGCAGAAACAAAUUGAAUAUGCAGCUCCAGAUGCGUUAGGACAUGUUAUCUCCAAGAACACUCGUGUUGAUGUCAUUCGUGCUCCUAGGAAGCUCAAGUGGUACCAACAGAUGGUUGAAAAGGUAUCAGAAUUCAGAAUUUAUGCCCGAGAGGCGAUCCGACGGUACGAGAGAUACCAGGUCCAUUGUUGUAGCACCUUGGCGGCACGUAGAUUAUCAGCCAUUGGGCCUAUAGUGCCAAUGCCGCCACUGCCUUGUGAGAAAACUUGUUUCGGCCUAGUAAUUGAUGGUCGGAUGAGCAAGUUUAUUAACUCGAUGGCUAACGACGCGGAUCAGCAGCUUAAGGUGGUGUCUAUUCAUGGAUCUGGAUGUCUUGGUAAAACAAUGGUUGCCAGAGUGUUGUACAAUAAAAUUGGGAGACAAUUUCAUUGCCGGGCUUUCAUCCGGGUGUCCAAAAAGCCUAAUAUGAAGAGGCUUUUCUGUGACAUCCUGUCACAAAUCCAGCGGAAGCAGCCCCAAGCAAGCCAAGCCGCUUCUGAUGAACUACGCAUUACUGCUGAAAAUAUCAGGAAUUAUCUACAUGGCAAAGGUAUCUGA
This 1023-nucleotide ribosomal RNA is filed under the name Triticum aestivum (bread wheat). Its description in RNAcentral is "partial small subunit ribosomal RNA". Lineage: Eukaryota; Viridiplantae; Streptophyta; Magnoliopsida; Poales; Poaceae. The record is from RNAcentral.